This is a long non-coding RNA of Lemur catta (Ring-tailed lemur), 2290 nucleotides long. RefSeq lists it as uncharacterized. The transcript has 5 exons. NCBI's taxonomy places the organism in Eukaryota, Metazoa, Chordata, Mammalia, Primates, Lemuridae. The record is from RefSeq and is a predicted model, not a curated record.
AAUCAAUAAUAGCAAAAUGUAGCUAUAACUUAAAUAUCCAAAAUAAAGAAAUGGUUAUAUAAAUAAUGGAAAGGAUAGUUUACGUUUUGAGGAAAUGGAGAAUAGAAAGAAAAACAGAUACUAACCCCUAAAAGAUACUAAACAAAGUAUAAUGUAUGGAUCCAAUAUUGUUAAAAUUAUAAAUAAUCAUUCUUCAUUAAAAACUGAAUUUCUUGUGGCUGCAUGGAAAUCCCUUUUAAUGAGUGAACUAUGCAUUGUUUAUCGAUGCCCCACCUCUUGUAUAUGCAUGUUGGUUCAGAUUUUUCUAUACAAGAAAUAGUUCUGAAAUACACACAUUUAUAUAUAAAUCUUUAGGGCACAUUUCUUUUUACAGUCUCUUUGAAUAGAUGCCUUGUCUUGGCCAGAACAGACUUUAAGGGUCCUUUGUUCCUUUCUGACCAUGAUGUGUUCUUAAGAACAUGCAGUUAGAAUCUUUCAUCACUCAGGAUGUCUCCCUUUCAAUCCACCAAAUCCCAACCUCUGUUAAGUCCUCAUUCUUUGCACUACUUCUCCACCCUUCCCAGCAUGCUCCUGCACGUGGCGUGUGUGUGCGCACACACACCCACACACACCCACACACCCACACACCCACACACAAGGUCCUCACCCCUUUCUCUGUCUGGGUACCUUCUGCAUGCCUGCUCUCAGCUUAUCAGCCCCUCUUCUCCUCCCAGGCCCUGUAGUCCUGGCUCUAAGCAAUUUCCCUCGCUUACCCCUUGGUAUUCCCAUCUGAAGAUCACAGCCCACAGAAUAAAGGUGAUUAAUAGUUCUCCAUCCUUUCUAUUAUGGUUAAGAGGCUCUUAUCUGGAAGAAAAGAAAAAGAAAGAAAGCAGAGACGGUUCACUCGGGGGUAGGAAAGGAGCCCACUUGGACGGAUGUUGGCACCACUGACGAAGCAAAGGAAGAAGGAGCACCAGCAGGUUGGCAGAAGAGGAUAUGGAGUUCAAUGUUGGACACAGGUUUGGAAAAGCUUUGGGGCAUUCCAAGUCUUCUUUGGAGUUCACUUCCUUGUCUCCUGAUGGCUUUACCUUUGCUCCGGCAUUCCUGCUCUUUCUCCCGGUGACAUUUCCAGAUGAAGCCAAGCAUACCCACUAGAAGAAGUGUCAGCACAAGCAAGAAUGAGAUCUGAGCAGCCACCCAAGGAAAUUCCUUCAGGAAGAGAGAUCAUUGAAAAACCAAGAAACCUUGAGAAUCAUUUUUUAAAAAGCCUCUGGGACCUGGUGAUUACUGGCAUUGCCUAGCAGACCUCACACUGGAUAUAUCUGAUUCUACAGGAAUGUGCCCUUCUAUUUCUUGGCUAUUUUACAACUCUGAAGAGAUACCAGUCUCUCUAGACUCCAUUCCAUAAGUCCUUACCCCUUGAAAAAAUGUCUGAAGAUCGUUUUUUGAUUUUCUGGGAACUGCUACUGCAUUGGAAUAGGAAAAUCGUCAAAAUCUCUAUGGAAAAAUAAAAUCUCUGUGGAGAUACUACAGGUCACAGACAGAUGUCUUGGGAUCUCAUUUCAGAUCUGACAGUAAACUGUGUGAUCUGGAGCAAGUCCCUUAAACUGGUUGGACUUCAGUUCCACUGUAGACUGCACGGCUAGACUUCACUAGAUUACCUGUAAGGCCCCUGCCAUUUCUGAUUUUUUAAUUUUAUGGUUCUUCCUGUGUCCCUCCCUCCAUAAUGGUUCUGGGAGUAUGGCCUGAUGUUGUAACAAAUAUAUUUCAAAAAUUCAGUGGCUUAACCCAAAAGCAUUUGAUUUCUUCUCACAUAAUUGUCAAUGCAAUUGUUCCCUGUUGUCAGGCAGGUUUCAUUGGUGUGGCUUCUUUCUGCAGGACAGUUCUCCAGGUGGCUGAUCCAUUUCUCCCCCAUUUCUGGCUUGUAGUUCUCAAGAAUAUAACUGUAGAAUGUGCUGGGAAUGCAACAUCCUGAGAUAGGGAGGAACUACCUGAACAGCCUGUUUCUGCCUCUCCUAAGGAAUGAAACAUCUUGAAUUAGGGAGGAACUGCCUAGGACAGCCUGGGCUUUGUUUCUGUCUCUGGAAGUAGGAUGUCUUUCAAAGGUUUAGCUUCACGUGGCCCCUGAGGUAUAUGAUCCAGGUGGGCUGCCUUUCCGGGUCCCUCAGCUGUGGUGCUAGUAGGGCAUGUGCAGUUGAGGCUCUAUCUACCCUGGGCAGCUUUCCUGAGCCUUGGAGAACCCACACAAAAUGGAUCCUAGCCUUCUUUUGUCUCUUGCUGCCGUCUGUAAGUAAUAAAUCUGCUUCAUGUA